This 301-nucleotide ribosomal RNA is filed under the name uncultured bacterium. RNAcentral describes it as "partial 16S ribosomal RNA". It matches the Rfam family "Bacterial small subunit ribosomal RNA", at positions 509 to 807 of the family's 1533-position model. The record is from RNAcentral.
CAGUCGCCGCGGUAAUACGAAGGGGGCUAGCGUUGCUCGGAAUGACUGGGCGUAAAGGGCGCGUAGGCGGUUUUGACAGUCAGAUGUGAAAUUCCUGGGCUUAACCUGGGGGCUGCAUUUGAGACGUCAAGACUAGAGUGUGAGAGAGGGUUGUGGAAUUCCCAGUGUAGAGGUGAAAUUCGUAGAGAUCAAGAGGAACACCUGAGGCGAAGGCGGGUUGCUGGGCCGACACUGACGCUGAUGCGCGAAAGCCAGGGGAGCAAACGGGAUUAGAUACCCCCGUAGUCCCUGUCUCUUAUAC